Lepisosteus oculatus (spotted gar) is the source of this 45-nucleotide regulatory RNA element. It matches the Rfam family "Histone 3' UTR stem-loop". From Rfam's summary of the family: The mRNAs of metazoan histone genes lack a poly-A tail. 3' end processing occurs at a site between a highly conserved stem-loop (modelled by this family) and a purine rich region around 20 nts downstream (the histone downstream element, or HDE). The record is from Rfam. Lineage: Eukaryota; Metazoa; Chordata; Actinopteri; Semionotiformes; Lepisosteidae.
ACAAAGGCUCUUUUAAGAGCCACCAGGGAAGUGAAAAAAAAAAAG